GACGAACGCUGGCGGCGUGCUUAACACAUGCAAGUCGAACGGUGACCUCGGAGCUUGCUCCGGGCGAUCAGUGGCGAACGGGUGAGUAACACGUGAGUAACCUGCCCCAGACUCUGGGAUAACCCCGGGAAACCGGAGCUAAUACCGGAUAUGACACGAAGAGGCAUCUCUAUCGCGUGGAAAGUUUUUCGGUCUGGGAUGGACUCGCGGCCUAUCAGCUUGUUGGUGAGGUAACGGCUCACCAAGGCGACGACGGGUAGCCGGCCUGAGAGGGCGACCGGCCACACUGGGACUGAGACACGGCCCAGACUCCUACGGGAGGCAGCAGUGGGGAAUAUUGCACAAUGGGCGAAAGCCUGAUGCAGCGACGCCGCGUGGGGGAUGACGGCCUUCGGGUUGUAAACCCCUUUCAGCAGGGAAGAAGCGAAAGUGACGGUACCUGCAGAAGAAGCACCGGCUAACUACGUGCCAGCCGCCGCCGUAACAC
RNAcentral lists this ribosomal RNA (487 nucleotides) under uncultured bacterium. RNAcentral's name for it is "bacterial SSU rRNA". It matches the Rfam family "Bacterial small subunit ribosomal RNA", at positions 28 to 526 of the family's 1533-position model. The record is from RNAcentral.